CGGAGGACUUAACCCACAAAAACCCUCUCAUGAAUAACCAAGUCCAACACACCCCCAGAAGCCUCCUGGGAGGGCAAGACCUGUAGUGCUUCUGCUGUAGUCUUCAAGUCUUCAAGCCCCAAAAUCUUCUUGGCUGCAGCAGAUAUGAUACCCAGCUAAUUGGACUUCUUGGACACUUGGACUGCAGCUUUUCCUCCUUUGGCAGACGCCCUGCUCCGAAGGAGCUACUCAACAAACAGGACAUUCCUGGAUCACUGAGUAGAGAGACCAUAGGAGAGGACCUGAGCCCUAGGACCAUGCCUCAGGACUACCUAGUCUGAUGACUCCUUGCUGUCCCCAGUCCACCUGGCUGUGCUGCUGCUCCAGUUUCAACUGUUCUGCCUGCGGCUAUGGAACCCUGACCUGUUCACCGGACAUGCUACCUGUCCCAGACCUACUGUUUUCAACUCUCUAGAGACAGCAGGAGCGGUAGAGAUACUCUGAAUGAUCAGCUAUGAAAAGCCAACUGACAUUUACUCCUGAGGUGCUGACCUGUUUGCACCCUCGACAACCACUGUGAUUAUUAUUAUUUGACCCUGCUGGUCAUCUAUGAACAUUUGAACAUCUUGGCCAUGUUCUGUUACAAUCUCUACCCGGCACAGCCAGAAGAGGACUGGCCACCCCUCAUAGCCUGGUUCCUCUCUAGGUUUCUUCCUAGGUUCUGGCCUUUCUAGGGAGUUUUUCCUAGCCACCGUGCUGCUUCACCUGCAUUGCUUGCUGUUUGGGGUUUUAGGCUGCGUUUUGUGACAUCAGCUGAUGUAAGAAGGGCUUUAUAAAUACAUUUGAUUGAAUGCCACUCAGACAUUGCUCAUCCUAAUUAGAGGUCGACCGAUUAUUAUUUUUCAAUGCCGAUACCGAUACCGAUUAUUGGAGGACCAAAUAAGGCCGAUACCGAUUAAUCUGACAAAUUUUAACUUAUUUAUUUUGAAUAAUGACAAUUACAACAAUACUGAAUGAACACUUAUUUUAACUUAAUAUAAUACAUAAAUAAAAUCAAUUUUGCCUCAAGUAAAUAAUGAAACAUGUUCAAUUUGGUUUAAAUAAUGCAAAAACAAAGUGUUGGACAAGAAAGUAAAAGUGCAAUAUGUGCUAUAUAAGAAAGCUUCACGUUUCAAUUCCUUGCUCAGAACAUGAGAACAUAUGAAAGCUGGUGGUUCCUUUUAACAUGAGUCUUCAAUAUUCC
Molecule: long non-coding RNA, 1222 nt
Organism: Oncorhynchus tshawytscha (Chinook salmon)
Lineage: Eukaryota; Metazoa; Chordata; Actinopteri; Salmoniformes; Salmonidae
Source: Ensembl